AGCACCACGCGCUCGAACUGCCCGCGGAGCCCGUCGAGAGACACGAGAAGCGCGCCAUCGGCGGAACUGCCCAGCACCUCUGGCUUGGGGUGGCGGGGCGCAGCCACCCGGUCGACACCUUCAGGCGAGAGGCCGUAGAUUCCCUGGUUGGAGUCCCGUUUCCUGGUGCCGGGGACUCCCGGCAUCUGAGGGCUCUGUCUCUCCAGUGGCCUCAGGACAGAGCAAGGCCCCCAGCAGGUGCCUCGAGACUGCCACACACCUGCCAGAUGCAUUCAGAGGAGCCUGUGAGCCCUGAGCCUGGGCUCCUGAGGAGGAGGAUCCAAGGCUGGGAAACCAGGGCCCUUCCCUAAUCUCUGGCCAGCCAUACCUGUGUUGGCCCUGACGGAAGCUGGGUAGCUGACUGCCCGGCCCCGCUCCGCUGUGACAGUCACCACAUAUUCCACGCCUGGCAUCAGUUCUCAGUGUCAACAUGGGACUGUGUGGAACUUGACCCUGUACAAGCUGGGGAGCAAACAUGCCGAGUGCGCUAACUCCUUGUGAGCCACUGUUCUAGGUGAUGUACAUACAUGAACUCACUUACAACCCUACAAAACAGGUCCUAUUAGUCCCAUUUUACAGAUAAGGAAACUGAGACACAGAAGGACAAGUAUCUUGCCAAGGUCACCAACACCAAGAAAACAGCAAGGAUUUAGGCCCUGGCAGUGUGAUCCCAGAGACCCCUCUCGUGGGCACCCCCUGCUCAUCUGCCAGAGUCCCCUCUCAUGGGCACCAUGUGUUCAUCUGCCAGAAUUCCACCCAACAUGCACUAGGACUCUCCCUCCGGCUUUGCCCUGGCAACUCUGACUACCUGGGCAUGAGAGGCUUCUCCUAAGCUCAGUCCUGUCAGAACAAAUGCAGUCGAUCAAGGAUGCCCUUCAAGCUGCACUUUCUCCUUAAGGGGGCUGCCUCACCCUCUGAACCUGCCGGCAGAUGCCUGCUCAUGGCUAUGUAAUAGGAGUGGGACUCACAUCACCACCUUUCCCUUGAGGGACUUUUUUUGUCUCUUCACCCGGGUUGUAGGCUCCUCAAAACAAGACCCACCCGCUCAAAGUUCCACAAAUAUGUUUCCUGAUUGUUGAUUUUGUACCUGGCAUCAUGCUGGGCAUUGGAGACACAAAAAUAAAAUAUAUGGUCCCUGUC
Molecule: non-coding RNA, 1179 nt
Organism: Macaca mulatta (Rhesus monkey)
Lineage: Eukaryota; Metazoa; Chordata; Mammalia; Primates; Cercopithecidae
Source: RefSeq, a predicted model, not a curated record